AGCGAACGCUGGCGGCAGGCUUAACACAUGCAAGUCGAACGGUCCUUCGGGAUAGUGGCGGACGGGUGAGUAACACGUGGGAACGUACCCUUAGGUUCGGAACAACACAGGGAAACUUGUGCUAAUACCGGAUAAGCCCUUCGGGGGAAAGAUUUAUCGCCUUUGGAGCGGCCCGCGUCUGAUUAGCUUGUUGGUGAGGUAAUGGCUCACCAAGGCUACGAUCAGUAGCUGGUCUGAGAGGAUGGCCAGCCACACUGGGACUGAGGCACGGCCCAGACUCCUACGGGAGGCAGCAGUGGGGAAUCUUGCGCAAUGGGCGAAAGCCUGACGCAGCCAUGCCGCGUGGAUGAUGAAGGUCUUAGGAUUGUAAAAUCCUUUCACCGGGGACGAUAAUGACGGUACCCGGAGAAGAGGCCCCGGCUAACUUCGUGCCAGCCGCCGCAGUAA
This 447-nucleotide ribosomal RNA is filed under the name uncultured bacterium. RNAcentral describes it as "partial 16S ribosomal RNA". It matches the Rfam family "Bacterial small subunit ribosomal RNA", at positions 29 to 523 of the family's 1533-position model. The record is from RNAcentral.